RNAcentral lists this ribosomal RNA (514 nucleotides) under Mycobacterium sp. N406. RNAcentral describes it as "bacterial SSU rRNA". It matches the Rfam family "Bacterial small subunit ribosomal RNA", at positions 1 to 522 of the family's 1533-position model. The record is from RNAcentral. Lineage: Bacteria; Bacillati; Actinomycetota; Actinomycetes; Mycobacteriales; Mycobacteriaceae.
UGGAGAGUUUGAUCCUGGCUCAGGACGAACGCUGGCGGCGUGCUUAACACAUGAAGUCGAACGGAAAGGUCUCUUCGGAGAUACUCGAGUGGCGAACGGGUGAGUAACACGUGGGUGAUCUGCCCUGCACUUCGGGAUAAGCCUGGGAAACUGGGUCUAAUACCGGAUAGGACCACGGGAUGCAUGUCUUGUGGUGGAAAGCGCUUUAGCGGUGUGGGAUGAGCCCGCGGCCUAUCAGCUUGUUGGUGGGGUGACGGCCUACCAAGGCGACGACGGGUAGCCGGCCUGAGAGGGUGUCCGGCCACACUGGGACUGAGAUACGGCCCAGACUCCUACGGGAGGCAGCAGUGGGGAAUAUUGCACAAUGGGCGCAAGCCUGAUGCAGCGACGCCGCGUGGGGGAUGACGGCCUUCGGGUUGUAACCUCUUUCACCAUCGACGAAGGUCCGGGUUCUCUCGGAUUGACGGUAGGUGGAGAAGAAGCACCGGCCAACUACGUGCCAGCAGCCGCGGUA